CCUUACGGGAGGCAGCAGUGGGGAAUAUUGGACAAUGGGGGGAACCCUGAUCCAGCGACGCCGCGUGAGUGAAGAAGUCUUUCGGUAUGUAAAGCUCUAUCAGCAGGGAAGAAAGCAAUGACGGUACCUGACUACGAAUCCCCGGCUAACUACGUGCCAGCAGCCGCGGUCAUACGUAGGGGGCAAGCGUUAUCCGGAUUUACUGGGUGUAAAGGGAGCGUAGACGGCAGCGCAAGUCUGGAGUGAAAUCCCAUGGCUUAACCAUGGAACUGCUUUGGAAACUGUGCAGCUAGAGUGCAGGAGAGGUAAGCGGAAUUCCUAGUGUAGCGGUGAAAUGCGUAGAUAUUAGGAGGAACACCAGUGGCGAAGGCGGCUUACUGGACUGUAACUGACGUUGAGGCUCGAAAGCGUGGGGAGCAAACAGGAUUAGAUACCCCUGUAGUC
RNAcentral lists this ribosomal RNA (444 nucleotides) under uncultured bacterium. RNAcentral's name for it is "partial 16S ribosomal RNA". It matches the Rfam family "Bacterial small subunit ribosomal RNA", at positions 337 to 795 of the family's 1533-position model. The record is from RNAcentral.